Long non-coding RNA from Bos taurus (domestic cattle), 357 nucleotides. NCBI's taxonomy places the organism in Eukaryota, Metazoa, Chordata, Mammalia, Artiodactyla, Bovidae. The record is from Ensembl.
GCCAGUCACCCGAACUCUCUGGGAUGUGAGUCCAGCCAGGGGCGCUGGCCUUGGCUGGGGGUCUCACUCUGCAGACCCUUUAGUGAGGGUUUUCUCUGCCACAGUUGGGAAAAGAGGCCUGAAUGGGGCUCAGGGUUUGCAUCUGAUCUCGUCGCUCCCCAGCUCCAGCGCGCCCCACCCGCCGCAACUGCUGGCGUUCACCCCUCUGCCCGGUGGACAGCGAGGCCCGUCCUGACCCUAACUUGUCCCCGGAAGCCACCAGCGUGCAGGCUUGAGAGGGCUUGUGGCUCGGGACUCCGGGGUUCACCACACACGGAUGCAGAGAACCCUGACCAACCCUCCUGCGAUGGAAGAAAC